GACAGGGAGAGGAAAGCUGAGAAAAGCAUUUAGGACACUCAUCAGUCGUGAAGGAACAGAAGUCAAUGGAUGAUGACUCUAUGGUUUCUGACUUGUGGUGACAGGGAAUUCAGAAGAGAAUAUAAAAUCAGUUGUAUGUGUUGGGAUGGGGGGGAAGGGGAGCAAUGAUAAUUAAACUCUGAUCGCAUUGAGAUCACAAUGCCCUGGAACCAUGGGGUGAAUGCAUCCGAGGUAAUUGGAAAAACGGGGCUGGAAAGUUCAGGAAAGAGCCUGGGCUCAUUCAUGGGGGAGCUUCAUCUGUUUAGAAGUGGUCACUGACAAGAUGCACAGAGGUGAAGGGAGACGGCCAUCUGUAUCCUAACCCAGAAGUCAGGCACCUCUGAGUCAAGUCAAGAAGAAAGCAAGCUACAAACACCAGCUAUACUUUGGACAGAGAAAAUAGGACUUGGUGACUCAAAUGACAGACCUGAAAAAGAACUCAAAGUCAGCUCCAAAGCUUUGAACCUAAAUGUCUGAAAAAAUAGUGGCACCGUUAAUGAAAUUACCCAAAUUCAACUUCCAUGAAGUGACUGAAAAUAUUGGGGGUGGACAAAGAAAGGUGACAGGCAUGGCAAGAAAGACAUCUAAUAAAAGUAUUCUUUGGGGCACCUAGUUGGCUCAGACUGUAGACCAGAAGCCAAACUUCCUUCCUGAAAAGGUGGGCAUCAAGUGUAGAAGAUAAACUUUAAUCCAAGAACAUGCAGUACAUUUGUCACGAGGACGUGCAGCAGAGAUGAAAAGGCUGACAAGGCAGAGUUAGACUACUAGAAUGUAUCAGUGUCCCUCUAUCUCCAGUGCUGAUCAAGGGAAAGGAUGCGUUCACUGAUUCCAUGGAAGUUUCCCAGUCUGGCCGGCAGAUAAACCCCUGAAAAGCAGAAUGCCCUACAAGGCAACAUUCAUUCAGAAUCGGAUGAAGAAAGCAUGGCACAAUUGUGACUUUAAAAAAGGAGUGGCUGCAGGGCGCAUGGAUGGCUCAGUUGGCUGAACGUCUGACGUCGGUUCAGGUCACGAUCUCAUGGUCCGGAGUUCGAGCCCCACAUGGGGUUCUUUGCUGACCGCUCAGAGCCUGGAGCCUGCUUCAGAUUCUGUGUCUCUGUCUCUCUCUGCCCCUCCCCCAUUCAUGCUCUGUCUUGCUCUCAAAAAAAUGAAUAAACAUUAAAAAUAAACAAAAAUAAAAAAGGAGUGGCUUAGUAAGGAUACUGAUACUUAACAGGACUUAGUAACUAAGUGGCUCUAUAAGUUAAAGAUGGAGGACAAAAUAAAAUCAAGCCCAGCUACCACUUAAAGGACAAACUGAGGAUUAAGAAUUAAUUUAGGGGGGCCACCUGGGUGGCUCAGUCAGGUAAGCAUCUGACUUCAGCUCAGGUCAUGAUCUCGCAGUCCAUGGGUUCGAGCCCUGCAUCGGGCUCUGU
Acinonyx jubatus (cheetah) is the source of this 1451-nucleotide long non-coding RNA. RefSeq lists it as uncharacterized. NCBI's taxonomy places the organism in Eukaryota, Metazoa, Chordata, Mammalia, Carnivora, Felidae. The transcript is spliced from 5 exons. The record is from RefSeq and is a predicted model, not a curated record.